RNAcentral lists this ribosomal RNA (493 nucleotides) under uncultured bacterium. RNAcentral describes it as "bacterial SSU rRNA". It matches the Rfam family "Bacterial small subunit ribosomal RNA", at positions 903 to 1397 of the family's 1533-position model. The record is from RNAcentral.
AAAGGAAUAGACGGGGGCCCGCACAAGCAGUGGAGUAUGUGGUUUAAUUCGACGCAACGCGAAGAACCUUACCAGGGCUUGACAUGUACAUGACCGGUAUAGAGAUAUACCCUUUUCUUCGGAAACAUGUAUACAGGUGGUGCAUGGUUGUCGUCAGCUCGUGUCGUGAGAUGUUGGGUUAAGUCCCGCAACGAGCGCAACCCCUAUGUUUAGUUACUACCAUUAAGUUGAGGACUUUAAACAGACUGCCAGUGAUAAACUGGAGGAAGGUGGGGACGACGUCAAAUCAUCAUGCCCCUUAUGUCCUGGGCUACACACGUACUACAAUGGGGAAACCAGAAGGAAGCGAAGAAGCGAUUUGGAGCCAAACCUAAAAGUUCCCCUCAGUUCGAAUUGCAGAUUGAAACUCAUCUGCAUGAAGUCGGAAUUGCUAGUAAUGGCAGGUCAUCAUACUGCCGUGAAUACGUUCCCGGGCCUUGUACACACCGCCCGU